This is a small nucleolar RNA of Abrus precatorius (Indian licorice), 107 nucleotides long. The record is from RefSeq and is a predicted model, not a curated record. Lineage: Eukaryota; Viridiplantae; Streptophyta; Magnoliopsida; Fabales; Fabaceae.
AAAUCAUGAUGCAGGCAUCUUCUCAACAGUUCCCUGAAUCGCUCCUACGCCUCAACUAAGGAUUCUACUUCAUAUUGUUGGGAGCAACAUAUCUCUGUUAUAAGCUU